This 997-nucleotide ribosomal RNA is filed under the name Pasteurellaceae bacterium I8. RNAcentral describes it as "bacterial SSU rRNA". It matches the Rfam family "Bacterial small subunit ribosomal RNA", at positions 308 to 1328 of the family's 1533-position model. The record is from RNAcentral. Lineage: Bacteria; Pseudomonadati; Pseudomonadota; Gammaproteobacteria; Pasteurellales; Pasteurellaceae.
CCACACUGGAACUGAACACGGUCCAAACUCCUACGGGAGGCANCAGUGGGGAAUAUUGCACCAAUGGGGGGAACCCUGAUGCACCAUGCCGCGUGAAUGAAGAAGCCUUCGGGUUGUAAAGUUCUUUCGGUGAUGAGGAAGUGUUUUGUUUAAUAACAAGGCAAUUGACGUUAGUCACAGAAGAAGCACCGGCUACUCGUGCCAGCAGCCCGCGGUUAAUACGGAGGGUGCAGCGUUAAUCGGAAUAACUGGGCUAAAGGGCACGCAGCGAUUUGUAUGAAUUUGAAACCCCAGCUUUAACUUUGGGAAUUGCAUUUCCAAACUGCAGUCUAAAGUAUUUUAAGGAGGGGUAGAUUCACCGUUGAACGUAAAUGCGUAAAUUUGAAGAAUACCAAAGGCAAGCCAACCCCUUUGGAAAUANNUUACGCUCAUGUGAAAAGCGUGGGAACAACCAGAAUUAGAUACCCUUGGUAGUCCACCUGUAACGAUGUUGAUUUGGGGAUUGGCCUUUAAGCUUGGUGCCCGUAGCUAACGUGAUAAAUCACCGCUGGGAAGUACGCCGCAAGGUUAAAACUCAAAUGAAUUGACGGGGGCCCGCACAACGGUGAGCAUGUGGUUUAAUUCGAUGCAACGCGAAGACCUUACUACUCUUGACAUCCAAAGAAGGCCGUAGANAUAUGGCUGUNCCUUCGGGAACUUUNANACAGGUGCUGCAUGNCUGUCGUCAGCUCGUGUUGUGAAAUGUUGGGUUAAGUCCCGCAACGAGCGCAACCCUUAUCCUUUGUUNCCAGCNAUUAGGUCGGGAACUCAAAGNAGACUGCCAGUGAUAAACUGAAGGAAGGUGGGNAUGACGUCAAGUCAUCAUGGCCCUUACGAGUAGGGCUACACACGUGCUNCAAUGGUGCAUCCANAGGGUAGCNACCCACCAUGGUAAGCCAAUCUCAGAAAGUGCAUAAAGUCCGGAUUGAANUUNUGCAACUCGNCCCACAUAAAGUCG